CAGUAGCCGCGGUAAUACGGAGGGUGCAAGCGUUAAUCGGAAUUACUGGGCGUAAAGCUCACGCAGGCGGUCUGACAAGUCAGAUGUGAAAUCCCCGGGCUUAACCUGGGAACUGCAUUUGAAACUGUCAGGCUGGAGUCUUGUAGAGGGGGGUAGAAUUCCAGGUGUAGCGGUGAAAUGCGUAGAGAUCUGGAGGAAUACCGGUGGCGAAGGCGGCCCCCUGGACAAAGACUGACGCUCAGGUGCGAAAGCGUGGGGAGCAAACAGGAUUAGAUACCCGGGUAGUCCCUGUCUCUUAUAC
RNAcentral lists this ribosomal RNA (301 nucleotides) under uncultured bacterium. Its description in RNAcentral is "partial 16S ribosomal RNA". It matches the Rfam family "Bacterial small subunit ribosomal RNA", at positions 509 to 807 of the family's 1533-position model. The record is from RNAcentral.